AUCUCUUGAUCGCAAUGAGAACAGGAAAUAAUAGAGCGAAUAGUGACUUUUUACAAGAUAGGUAGAAACUCUUCUGAAUUGUAUAUUAUAUCUCAGUUGUGAACCACUUUUACUCUAGAUAUCCCUUCUUUUAUUCCGACUAUACCUCCAUCUCUCCAAAACCCUAUUGAAUACCGGAAUUAAUUUACUGAAUAACGCAUAGGGACUCUUAUGAUACAUGUAAAAUACUACGAUAAUGACCCACUUCCCUCAUGACUUACGACUUGAAUAUAUGGAAUUUUCAACUGAAAUAGGUAGGGGUUUUAGCUCAACAAAAUAGGUAGGUUGCGAACAAAUGUUUUAAGAUGGUCUUGAUCUCUUAAUAUCAAUGAGAAUGGGAAAUAAAAGUGCGAAUAGCGACUUCUCAGCAUGUUAGGUCGGGACUCUUCUGAUAUUUAUAUGACUUAAUAGUUAUGAACCGCUUUCCCUCGAGACCGUCUCCCUUAUAUAUCAACUGUGCCUCUUUCUCCCCUAGAGUGAUAUGAAACCCGGAAUUAGGUUACUGAUGGACGGGUAGGGACUUUUAUGUUAUCUUAUAUGUAAUAUUGACCCACUUCCCCUCGUGACAUAAGACAAGGAGACAAUGGAUCAUCAGCGAUGUCUCGCCCAUUGAACACCAAUAAUAGUGAUAGGUACAAGUGUUUGGAUAUGGCUCAACAUGUUCCUUAUAAUAUGCAGACGAUACCAUACACUAUACCUUAAUUUUCUUAUAAUCUGUCAUUUUUCCUUGAUGUGAAUGAAAACUUCUCUAAAAUCUACCACAAAUGAAUGACGAAAUUAUUUCAAACAUAGGAGGCUGGGCUCAAGGUGACAUUCAUUUCCCAUUUUAAAUUAACAAAUUAAGAGUGUCAACCUUCUCAAGCAACGACUAAGAACGACUUUAUAACAUGGACCACAAAUCAAAAAUGCAUUCUCCAAGGAAUAUGGAUAGGAAAUAUACAAAAAGAUUAUAAAUAUAAAAUAUGUACAUGAGCAAAACUAUUGCCUCAUAUCGGAAAUAGAAAACCAAUUCAGUUCCAGUUUCAAAUGGAUAAAAUGAUUAAAAGAAAUUUUAUUAUACAGGGCACAUAAUGUGAAGAUGUCUUUUUUCAUGCACAAUGAAAUAACAAACAUCAACAAAUAACAAAAUCCCAUUCAGAUUUACAGAUUUAAAUUUUAUGUAUUUGCGCAGUUAAGUAACAAUUUUACGCACGUGCUCUAUACUUUAGGAAAUGUACAUAUUUACAUAUUUGUUACAUUUUAUGUAGGACCUGAAGAGUGGAACCCCACUAUCGGGAUAAAAACGGACUCACUGCUAUUUAUUUAUCCCUAUUAGUUCAAUAUCUACGGUCAAAAAUCCAAGAAUCAAAUACUCGCAUCUAACGUAUAUGUUUGCAAUUAUAAUCGUACCUAAGAGCAAGUAAAACAUUACAAUACGUAACUUUAACACCACUAAUUGCACAACGCAUACUGUACACUCUUUAUGAAUGGCAUAAAUCUUCUGCUGACAAAAGGGAAAACUGAACAUCUCGGAUAGUGACGAAAAGUGGCAGUAAAAACGGCAAUAAUAAACGCUAGUUUUUUUUAACACAAGCAUCUUAGUUUUAUAGUAUUUCAACCUGAACACGCUUAAAUAAUACUGAUCUAUUUAGAACCACUACUACUUUUUUUUUAAACGAAUCUUUUUUUUUAGUUGUCAUUCUAAUACCGAAAAGUUAGCUCGUGUCUUCUCCUCUCUUUAUGUAAUAGGUAUAAUUUAUAGGACAUAAUUUGAUAAAUAUUUGAUAAUCUACUACCAACAAAUUCUUAUCUGCUAGUUACAAAUGAUAUUUAAUACCUACAAUAUGUAUUGGUUGACCAAAUUAGUUACACACGAAACUUAAACAUAACAUUAUUAAUGGAUUUAUUGACUGUCAGUUACUCACUGUAUGAUUUCUGAAAAUUAUUUGUUUGAAAUGCAUUUAAUUGGUAUGCAAUAGACCUUGGCUGUACUCCGAAUUUGUCAUUUGUCUUUUCCACAAGACUUUUUCAACAAACAAGUCCAAACAGCUAAGAUUAUGAAAUCUUAGAGCUUGCUUCUAAUGACCCAAUAUACAUCCGACAAUAUAUUCUCAAAUGGUAAAUUAAAUCCUGACAAGACAAGUCCAAUUUAAAAAAUGUAUCACCUCCGCUCACCAAACUAUGACUUGAUACAACUGAUAAUAUAAAAUUCUUUGGAAUUACGUACUUCUCUAAGACGUUCAAACGAGUAAAAUUUUACAUGUGACGAGGCAUUUGAAAAAAGCUUUCCGGGUGAUUGCCAUUUCAGUAAAUGAAUAUAAAUUAAUGAAUGUCGUCCAUGACGAUUUUGAAAGCAUAACUACUUGGGCAUCGAUAUUAUUUUAUGAAUAAUUAACAAGACAAUACAAAUUACUCGGGGAUCUGGAAAUAUCUACAUUUAUAAAUGGAAACGUACGUUUGUUUAGAAAUUAGGAAUGUAUCUGAUCAUUAUGUUUUAUUGAGUAUGAAGCUAGCUUACACUAAAAGCGUUAAUCUUCUUCGCCUAUUACUUGGGGUUUCUUGAACGUCGUGUUGUAUCUUUUCUCUAAGCUAUGUACGUGUAUACUUUUCUCAAGCUAUCCUUUUCCCAAACCUACGUGAAUACCUUUAUUCCACUAUUGCUUUACCAUUAUCCUAUUGACAAUCUCUUCUGAUUUCAU
This is a long non-coding RNA of Drosophila guanche, 2717 nucleotides long. RefSeq lists it as uncharacterized. NCBI's taxonomy places the organism in Eukaryota, Metazoa, Arthropoda, Insecta, Diptera, Drosophilidae. The record is from RefSeq and is a predicted model, not a curated record. The transcript is spliced from 3 exons.